GCCGCCGUAGCUCAGCCCGGUAGAGCGGCGGGCUGUUAACCCUGCAGGAACCCGUAGGUCCCGGGUUCAAAUCCCGGCGGCGGCG
This 85-nucleotide transfer RNA is filed under the name Vulcanisaeta distributa DSM 14429. It matches the Rfam family "tRNA". From Rfam's summary of the family: Transfer RNA (tRNA) molecules are approximately 80 nucleotides in length. Their secondary structure includes four short double-helical elements and three loops (D, anti-codon, and T loops). Lineage: Archaea; Thermoproteati; Thermoproteota; Thermoprotei; Thermoproteales; Thermoproteaceae. The record is from Rfam by way of RNAcentral.